Solanum tuberosum (potato) is the source of this 915-nucleotide RNA transcript. RefSeq lists it as uncharacterized. Lineage: Eukaryota; Viridiplantae; Streptophyta; Magnoliopsida; Solanales; Solanaceae. The transcript is spliced from 4 exons. The record is from RefSeq and is a predicted model, not a curated record.
AUUUUGAAGAACUGUGAUGAAAAUUCAACCAUUUCUCGAAGAAUUUUCACAAAUUUAUAGUGAGACGUCUCAACAAAGUUCAGAUGUGGAGUGGAAUAGAAAAUUCAUUAGUUGGUUACAAAAAAAGGUUGACAUGAAUCCCUCAAUAACUCUGAAGUAUGAAAUGGGACAAGCUUCAAAAAUUCCCAAGCAUGAACUCAUUCAGCCAGGUGCCUUAGCAAAAGGACUAGGUCAAAGUUUGAAAUCUAUGAGCACUAUUAGAGUUAAUGCUGAACGAAGGACUCCAAUUGCCAAAAAUAGAAGUUACUAUACAUCAACUUCUAAGUUGAAUAAGAUAGCAGAUAAUAGUUUCCAUGUGCAUCCUUGUUUUGAGGAAAAGGAAGACAAUGCUCCCCUCUAUCAAGAAGCUGAAAUGAAUCAAUACACUUUGACCAGUGAUGCAAGGGGUCAGGGACAAAGCUUAAGGAUUAAUGCUGAAAAAAGGACUAUGAUUGGCGAAAAUAGAAAUACUACAACAACUUCUAGUCAAAAUAAGCCAGCAAAGAAAAGUAUCCCUGUGCCUCCUGAUUUUAAUCCAAUGGAAGACAAUGACACCCUCUUUCUAGAAACGGAAGUGACUCGAGAUACUCAAAGAAGUGAUCAUUUGCAAAAGAGUUAGUUUGGUUAAUCUGUUUGAUCAAGAAAUUCUACUUAGCUUUCUCUACUUAAUCUCCUUUCUAUUCUUUUUGUUACUAAUGGGAAUAAAUUUCUUAUUUUGGUUGACUUCCAUCAAAAUUUGCAGGUCCUUUUGAAUUCGGUAAGUCCAAAAAAGUGAUUGAAGUGCCUCGAGUUGCCCAAAGAAGUUCGUUUGAAUCUAGAAAAGCAAAAGAAGUGGUUGGAGUGGCUCAAGGUUCCAAGGGAAAUCAAAAUAGAAAG